CCAAUAGCGUAUAUUAAAGUUGUUGCAGUUAAAAAGCUCGUAGUUGAAUUUCGGGGUCAGUAGGUUGGUCAUGCCACUGGUAUGUACUGAUCUUACUGAUUCCUCCUUCCUGAUGAACCGUAAUGCCAUUAAUUUGGUGUUGCGGGGAGACUGGACUGUUACUUUGAAAAAAUUAGAGUGUUUAAAGCAGGCUAACGCUUGAAUACAUUAGCAUGGAAUAAUGAAAUAGGACGUUCGAUCCUAUUUUGUUGGUUUCUAGGAUUGACGUAAUGAUUAAUAGGUAUAGUUGGGAGCAUUAGUAUUCAAUUGUCAGAAGUGAAAUUCUUGGAUUUAUUGAAGACUAACUACUGCGAAAGCAUUUGCCAAGGAUGUUUUCAUUAAUCAAGAACGAAAGUUAGGGGAUCGAAGACGAUCAGAUACCGUCGUAGUCUUAACCAUAAACUAUGCCGACUAGGGAUCGGAUGAUGUUAAUUUUUUAAUGUCUCAUUCGGCGCCUUACG
This 500-nucleotide ribosomal RNA is filed under the name uncultured Glomeromycotina. RNAcentral's name for it is "partial small subunit ribosomal RNA". It matches the Rfam family "Eukaryotic small subunit ribosomal RNA", at positions 591 to 1092 of the family's 1831-position model. The record is from RNAcentral. Lineage: Eukaryota; Fungi; Glomeromycota.